This is an unclassified non-coding RNA of Apteryx haastii (Great spotted kiwi), 178 nucleotides long. NCBI's taxonomy places the organism in Eukaryota, Metazoa, Chordata, Aves, Apterygiformes, Apterygidae. The record is from Ensembl.
UCUGCAGCAGUAGAGGCUGAAGCCUCUUCUCAUCCGCAGGUCAGGUACAGUGUGGACAAGUGCACUGCAGGCUCCCCUACACYGCGCCGCCGGUGCACCUCAAAGCGGACAUGGAAGGACCACUAUCUAACAGGGGUGAGAAGGUAAUUGCAGUCCCCRUUUCAGGCUUUGGGCUCAA